This 245-nucleotide ribosomal RNA is filed under the name uncultured Thermogutta sp. RNAcentral's name for it is "partial 16S ribosomal RNA". It matches the Rfam family "Bacterial small subunit ribosomal RNA", at positions 524 to 768 of the family's 1533-position model. Lineage: Bacteria; Pseudomonadati; Planctomycetota; Planctomycetia; Pirellulales; Thermoguttaceae. The record is from RNAcentral.
GACGAACCGUACGAACGUUAUUCGGAAUUACUGGGCUUAAAGGGUGCGUAGGCGGCCUGGUAAGUUGGGUGUGAAAUCCCUCGGCUCAACCGAGGAAUUGCGCUCAAUACUGCUUGGCUUGAGGGAGACAGAGGUGAGCGGAACUCAGGGUGGAGCGGUGAAAUGCGUUGAUAUCCUGAGGAACACCAGUAGCGAAGGCGGCUCACUGGGUCUUUUCUGACGCUGAGGCACGAAAGCUGGGGGAG